Molecule: long non-coding RNA, 1581 nt
Organism: Aedes albopictus (Asian tiger mosquito)
Lineage: Eukaryota; Metazoa; Arthropoda; Insecta; Diptera; Culicidae
Exons: 2
Source: RefSeq, a predicted model, not a curated record
AAUGUAAUUGUAAUUGCUCAGUCCACACCCAGGCCGACAACUGUCAGCCCAUCUGCUUGUGGGCAGAUGUGGACCUACUAAGCCUCCCCCGUUAACAUGUCCUACACCGAAUUAGCACACCGGGAUCUUCCACAGGCAGGCGCUGGCGUUACCAGUCCCAACAAGUGUCAGAUACAUUAAAUAGAUGGGGUAGAGGAUAUAGGAAGAUGUGGGAAUAGGAUGGGAAGAGGCAGAAAAUGAAGAGAUAGUAGAGAGGUUUCGAUUUUGUUGCUGAAACGAGAAAAAGAAAGAAUGAUAAAGAACAUUAGCGAUAUGUUCAUAGAUUUUGAUUUGGUCGAUAAUUUCUCAUCUAUUUUGUUUCCAUAUCGUUGCAUCGGUGAUCAUUUUCAUCGCCUUUCUAGUUUUGUUAGAGCCAUCUCGCGUUUUUUCGUCAUGUCCUCUUUGCCGGUUGGCGACGUUCGGGAUUACUUCCAGCCCAUUUGUCCGCAGUACAUAUCAGGCAUCCCGUUUUAACAAGUCCUACACAGAAUUAGAAACCCGGAUCUUCCACAGACAGUCCUAACUAGUGUCAGAUAAGUUCAAUUGAGGAUAGGAAGCGGCAAAAUGAGAAGACAGUAGAGAAGGUUUGGUUCAUUGGUAGCUGUGUUCAUGUGUUGUCUGUCUGACAUUGAAAAACUAUUUUCCGUAAGUGUUUAACUCGUCACCCCAUAUUUAAUACCGGAAAAAUAUCUGAUCAGAUGUAUAGUUUGGCAAUUCUAUGUCCACAUUGAAAUGCUUUUGUUAAUACAUUGUUUAUCAAGAAGGAAUAAUGUUGUUUACUGUUAUAAAAUAAUUCAGUUAAAGGGCAGCUAAUGUAUUGUAGUCAAGAAUAAACCUACAGAAAAUGUCUCAAUAAAAAAGUUAACUCUAGUUCAACUAACUACACAAACUGAAAAGUGUUAUUAUAUUUUACCAAUGAUUUCAUCCUAAUCUUGACCCUAACAUAGUUAUGCGCUUAGUGUAAGUGGACGCCGCUUAUGAUUUGGUUGAACAAUGACCAAAAAUAAUGUUGUUUCGACAAUAGUCACAUACUAUGCCCUACGACAUUGACGAUUCUAUUGUCUAUGGCUCAUCUAUUUCGCGCCACCCAGCAGGGACUUGGUCUGAUACCCAAUUCAGCAUCUACAUUCCACGUAAUGUACCGCACCUCUUUUGAUUUGUGAUAUUCACGCGGAAUAUUGUUCUCUUCAUUCGGAUAGCGACUGUGUAACCCCCUUGGAUUGAAAGCCUCCAUCAAACAUGAAGCGACUAAUCGGAUACUGAAGACUCUAUACCAGAUUUGGCUCAGAGACAGGUAAUCAGUGAUGUCAGUUUUUUCUCGUUUGUCAGAGACGAUUGAUACGUAUUAAGACAAACUUUCCACUGCAUCUGCCAGCAGUAAUCGGUGGUCAAUCAACAUUCCGAGUCCCCUAAUUUCACAAGGAUGCCAAGGAUCACCGCUCAUGCUUUACAAUACAGCUGGAAAAACUAGAACAACACCUGGCCACAAUGAUGCAUAAAGCACUAAAGCGGACCGGAAGAUUCGAUGAGCCAGCCCCCACC